CCCUUAGAUGUCCUGGGCUGCACGCGCGCUACACUGACACGUUCAACGAGUUUUGCCUGCUCCGAUGGGACUGGGUAAUCUUUUGAAAGCGUGUCGUGACGGGGAUAGAUUAUUGCAAUUAUUAAUCUUCAACGAGGAAUUCCUAGUAAGUGCAAGUCAUCAGCUUGUGCUGAUUACGUCCCUGCCCUUUGUACACACCGCCCGUCGCUCCUACCGAUUGGGUGAUCCGGUGAAUAACUCGGACUGCGGCUAUACGGGAAACCGUUGGCUCGUGGAAAGUUUAGUAAAUCUUAUCACUUAGAGGAAGGAGAAGUCGUAACA
RNAcentral lists this ribosomal RNA (321 nucleotides) under uncultured eukaryote. RNAcentral describes it as "partial 18S ribosomal RNA". It matches the Rfam family "Eukaryotic small subunit ribosomal RNA", at positions 1470 to 1796 of the family's 1831-position model. The record is from RNAcentral.